This 652-nucleotide ribosomal RNA is filed under the name bacterium HZ6-36. RNAcentral describes it as "bacterial SSU rRNA". It matches the Rfam family "Bacterial small subunit ribosomal RNA", at positions 338 to 974 of the family's 1533-position model. The record is from RNAcentral.
CCUACGGGAGGCAGCAGUAGGGAAUCUUCCGCAAUGGACGAAAGUCUGACGGAGCAACGCCGCGUGAGCGAUGAAGGCCUUCGGGUCGUAAAGCUCUGUUGUUAGGGAAGAAUAAGUGCUAGUUGAAUAAGCUGGCACCUUGACGGUACCUAACCAGAACUAGCCACGGCUAACUACCGAACUGCGCAGCAGCCGCGGUAAUACGUAGUGGCAAGCGUUGUCCGGAAUUAUUGGGCGUAAAGCGCGCGCAGGCGGUUUCUUAAGUCUGAUGUGAAAGCCCCCGGCUCAACCGGGGAGGGUCAUUGGAAACUGGGAAACUUGAGUGCAGAAGAGGAAAGUGGAAUUCCAAGUGUAGCGGUGAAAUGCGUAGAGAUUUGGAGGAACACCAGUGGCGAAGGCGACUUUCUGGUCUGUAACUGACGCUGAGGCGCGAAAGCGUGGGGAGCAAACAGGAUUAGAUACCCUGGUAGUCCACGCUGUAAACGAUGAGUGCUAAGUGUUAGAGGGUUUCCGCCCUUUAGUGCUGAAGUUAACGCAUUAAGCACUCCGCCUGGGGAGUACGGUCGCAAGACUGAAACUCAAAGGAAUUGACGGGGGCCCGCACAAGUGGUGGAGCAUGUGGUUUAAUUCGAAGCAACGCGAAGAACCUUAC